Molecule: ribosomal RNA, 435 nt
Filed under: uncultured bacterium
Lineage: Bacteria
Description: bacterial SSU rRNA
Rfam family: Bacterial small subunit ribosomal RNA
Source: RNAcentral
GAAAGAUUUAUCGGUUAUGGAUGGGGAUGCGUCUGAUCAGCUAGUUGGUGAGGUAAUGGCUCACCAAGGCUAUGACGCAUAACUGGUCUGAGAGGAUGAUCAGUCACACUGGAACUGAGACACGGUCCAGACUCCUACGGGAGGCAGCAGUAGGGAAUAUUGCUCAAUGGGGGAAACCCUGAAGCAGCAACGCCGCGUGGAGGAUGACACUUUUCGGAGCGUAAACUCCUUUUGUUAGGGAAGAACAAUGACGGUACCUAACGAAUAAGCACCGGCUAACUCCGUGCCAGCAGCCGCGGUAAUACGGAGGGUGCAAGCGUUACUCGGAAUCACUGGGCGUAAAGGACGCGUAGGCGGAUUAUCAAGUCUCUUGUGAAAUCCUAUGGCUUAACCAUAGAACUGCUUGGGAAACUGAUAAUCUAGAGUGAGGGAGAG